UUCAGUGACGAUGGCAAAGAGGUCACACCCGUUCCCAUACCGAACACGGAAGUUAAGCUCUUUAGCGCCGAUGGUAGUUGGGGGUUUCCCCCUGUGAGAGUAGGACGUCGCUGGUC
This 116-nucleotide ribosomal RNA is filed under the name Sporosarcina ureae. The record is from RNAcentral. Lineage: Bacteria; Bacillati; Bacillota; Bacilli; Caryophanales; Caryophanaceae. RNAcentral also lists the same sequence under 4 other names.